CUACGGGCGGCACUAGUGAGGAAUAUUGCACAAUGGGGGGAACCCUGAUGCAGCAACGCCGCGCGGAGGAUGGCGCAUUUCGGUGUGUAAACUCCUUUUAUAUGUCAAGAAAAUGACGGUAGCAUAUGAAUAAGCACCGGCUAACUCCGUGCCAGCAGCCGCGGUAAUACGGAGGGUGCAAGCGUUACUCGGAAUCACUGGGCGUAAAGGACGCGUAGGCGGGUUGGAAAGUCAGGUGUGAAAUCCUACAGCUUAACUGUAGAACUGCACUUGAAACUUCUAAUCUAGAGUAUGGGAGGGGGAGAUGGAAUUAGUGGUGUAGGGGUAAAAUCCGUAGAUAUCACUAGGAAUACCUAAAGCGAAGGCGAUCUCCUGGAACAUUACUGACGCUAAGGCGUGAAAGCGUGGGGAGCAAACAGGAUUAGAUACCCUAGUAGUC
RNAcentral lists this ribosomal RNA (439 nucleotides) under uncultured bacterium. Its description in RNAcentral is "partial 16S ribosomal RNA". It matches the Rfam family "Bacterial small subunit ribosomal RNA", at positions 339 to 795 of the family's 1533-position model. The record is from RNAcentral.